AACGAACGCUGGCGGCAGGCUUAACACAUGCAAGUCGAACGGCAGCACGGGUGCUUGCACCUGGUGGCGAGUGGCGAACGGGUGAGUAAUACAUCGGAACGUACCUUAUCGUGGGGGAUAACGCAGCGAAAGCUGUGCUAAUACCGCAUACGCCCUGAGGGGGAAAGCGGGGGAUCGAAAGACCUCGCGCGAUUAGAGCGGCCGAUGCCUGAUUAGCUUGUUGGUGGGGUAAAAGCCCACCAAGGCGACGAUCAGUAGCUGGUCUGAGAGGACGAUCAGCCACACUGGGACUGAGACACGGCCCAGACUCCUACGGGAGGCAGCAGUGGGGAAUUUUGGACAAUGGGGGCAACCCUGAUCCAGCAAUGCCGCGUGAGUGAAGAAGGCCCUCGGGUUGUAAAGCUCUUUUGUCAGGGAAGAAACACCGGCUCUAACACAGUCCGGGAAUGACGGUACCUGAAGAAUAAGCACCGGCUAACUACGUGCCAGCCGCCGCGGUAA
Molecule: ribosomal RNA, 501 nt
Filed under: uncultured bacterium
Lineage: Bacteria
Description: partial 16S ribosomal RNA
Rfam family: Bacterial small subunit ribosomal RNA
Source: RNAcentral